This is a non-coding RNA of Ceratotherium simum simum (southern white rhinoceros), 88 nucleotides long. NCBI's taxonomy places the organism in Eukaryota, Metazoa, Chordata, Mammalia, Perissodactyla, Rhinocerotidae. The record is from RefSeq and is a predicted model, not a curated record.
ACUACACACCUAGGCUAUGUGGUACUCAUCUUACGGGACUACCAUCAUGUAUGUGGUCCAUGGUUGACCAAAACAUUGUUUGUGGGGC